Molecule: long non-coding RNA, 450 nt
Organism: Lolium rigidum
Lineage: Eukaryota; Viridiplantae; Streptophyta; Magnoliopsida; Poales; Poaceae
Exons: 2
Source: RefSeq, a predicted model, not a curated record
GCCCAAGAAGGCGAAGAAGAAGGGGAGGACGCCGCCGCCGGAGGAGGAGAUGGAGGCCUUCUUUGCCGCGGCGGAGAGCGGCGUGGCGCGGAGCUUCGCGGCCAAGUACAACUAUGACGUCGUCAAAGACGCUCCCAUGGAUGGGCGGUACGAGUGGGUCCGGGUAAGGCUGUAGGAUGCCGCAACAGCCAGUCAAAUGCCAGAGGCACCCUUUUAAUCAUUCUUUUGUACGUAGCUACCAUGUGGUGCUUUAGCUGUAAUUAUGCUUACCAGACGCCUAAUCAUGUGUAAAAGCUCACCGUGUAAGUCAGUGGAUGUUUCACUUGUAACUUCCUUUUCUAGGUGUGGAAUUCAGUUGUAACUUAGUGGUACUACGUGCUUUAACUCCUUGUCGACUUGUCGUAUGUUGGUCUCAUGAAAGAAAGAGUACAAAAUGUGUCGUUUACUGUG